CCUACGGGAGGCAGCAGUGGGGAAUUUUGCGCAAUGGGGGAAACCCUGACGCAGCAACGCCGCGUGAGUGAUGAAGGCCUUCGGGUCGUAAAGCUCUGUCUAGAGGAAAGAAAUGUUUGGAGGCUAAUACCCUUUGAACUUGACGGUACCUCUGAAGGAAGCACCGGCUAACUCCGUGCCAGCAGCCGCGGUAAU
This 195-nucleotide ribosomal RNA is filed under the name uncultured Geobacter sp. RNAcentral's name for it is "partial 16S ribosomal RNA". It matches the Rfam family "Bacterial small subunit ribosomal RNA", at positions 338 to 524 of the family's 1533-position model. The record is from RNAcentral. Lineage: Bacteria; Pseudomonadati; Thermodesulfobacteriota; Desulfuromonadia; Geobacterales; Geobacteraceae.